AGAUGUUUGUUAAUAAGCACUCAGCCUCUGGGCAUAGAUACUCCAAAAAGAAAUGCUGCUUAAGGCCGGUCUUUGGACAUCACGGACUUAGGCACAAUGGAUACUUCAAUGGUGGUUGGUGCUGGACGGACACAUCACUGAUAGGACUAAAUUUGCUGCCGUUCCAGUUGUCAGUUCACUUGGCUUGUACUAAACCUUGCCUUGGAAACAAUUAAUUCCGCCAAGGAAUUCAACAUAAAUUUUUGGCUGACCUCCUCCGUUCAUAGAAUCGGAGGGGUCAGAGAUGGUUUUAACGGUUGGUGUAAAUGUUGGCGUUGC
Musca domestica (house fly) is the source of this 318-nucleotide long non-coding RNA. RefSeq lists it as uncharacterized. The record is from RefSeq and is a predicted model, not a curated record. The transcript is spliced from 2 exons. Lineage: Eukaryota; Metazoa; Arthropoda; Insecta; Diptera; Muscidae.